Molecule: ribosomal RNA, 468 nt
Filed under: uncultured bacterium
Lineage: Bacteria
Description: partial 16S ribosomal RNA
Rfam family: Bacterial small subunit ribosomal RNA
Source: RNAcentral
GACGAACGCUGGCGGCGUGCUUAACACAUGCAAGUCGAACGGAAAGGCCCUGCUUUUGUGGGGUGCUCGAGUGGCGAACGGGUGAGUAACACGUGAGUAACCUGCCCUUGACUUUGGGAUAACUUCAGGAAACUGGGGCUAAUACCGGAUAGGAGCUCCUGCUGCAUGGUGGGGGUUGGAAAGUUUCGGCGGUUGGGGAUGGACUCGCGGCUUAUCAGCUUGUUGGUGGGGUAGUGGCUUACCAAGGCUUUGACGGGUAGCCGGCCUGAGAGGGUGACCGGCCACAUUGGGACUGAGAUACGGCCCAGACUGCUACGGGAGGCAGCAGUGGGGAAUAUUGCACAAUGGGCGGAAGCCGGAUGCAGCAACGCCGCGUGCGGGAUGACGGCCUUCGGGUUGUAAACCGCUUUCGCCUGUGACGAAGCGUGAGUGACGGUAAUGGGUAAAGAAGCACCGGCUAACUACGUG